This is a long non-coding RNA of Triticum dicoccoides, 295 nucleotides long. RefSeq lists it as uncharacterized. The record is from RefSeq and is a predicted model, not a curated record. Lineage: Eukaryota; Viridiplantae; Streptophyta; Magnoliopsida; Poales; Poaceae. The transcript is spliced from 3 exons.
CGAACCCAAACAAAACCCUGCAGAGGAAGAUAUGAUUAAAGAUCACACGGUGCGAUCGUGACCUCUUUCAACCUGACGGAGGUGACUAACGAGUAUGAAGUACAUUUAGGGCCUACAGUGGCUUUGGCAUUCAGGAUUUCGUUGAUCCAUCCAAACAAUAAUCAGUAAAAGUGCAGUUCUACCAGGACCAUUUCAAAGUAUACUUGCCGCGAGCUACCCUCGACACAUUGGAGUUCUGGAAUGAUGGCCGGGCGGAAAGUUUCAUCGAAGAGGAAGAAAAAAACACUUUGAAUGC